GUGUCAGCCGCCGCGGUAAAACGUAGGUCCCGAGCGUUGUUCGGAUUCACUGGGUGUAAAGGGCGCGUAGGUGGUUGUCUGUGUCUCAUGUGAAAACUCAGGGCUCAACUCUGAGAUGGCGUGGGAAACUAGGCAGCUAGAGGACGGUAGAGGGGAGUGGAAUUCCCGGUGUAGCGGUAAAAUGCGUAGAUAUCGGGAGGAACACCGGUGGCGAAGGCGGCUCUCUGGGCCGAUCCUGACGCUGAGGCGCGAAAGCUAGGGGAGCGAACCGGAUUAGAUACCCGGGUAGUCCUAGCCGUAAACGAUGGACGCUAGGUGUGGGCGGUUUAUCCGUCUGUGCCGAAGCCAACGCGAUAAGCAUCCCACCUGGGGAGUACGGCCGCAAGGUUGAAACUCAAAUAAAUUGACGG
RNAcentral lists this ribosomal RNA (410 nucleotides) under uncultured bacterium. Its description in RNAcentral is "bacterial SSU rRNA". It matches the Rfam family "Bacterial small subunit ribosomal RNA", at positions 505 to 916 of the family's 1533-position model. The record is from RNAcentral.